This is a long non-coding RNA of Drosophila navojoa, 912 nucleotides long. Lineage: Eukaryota; Metazoa; Arthropoda; Insecta; Diptera; Drosophilidae. The record is from RefSeq and is a predicted model, not a curated record.
AACGAUAACAAUUGUAGAGAGAGCACAAUUCACAGUUUUCUUUCAAACAUUUUGCGGAGAUAAUGCGAAAGAACAAAUAUUAAUAAGUUAGUUGUUGAUUUGCCGCCGAACUGUUAGCGUGUCGGUAUGUAACGCGUGGAAGUGAGUGAGGAUUCAAAAAAUUACCAACUGAAUAUAUGUUUUGGCAAUACAAAUAAAAAAUUGUAAGCGAAAUAUUGGAAACAAUGAAAUUAAUAAAUAAUCCGAAAAAUAUUGAGUUCAUGCGUGUUUGCAUUUAAUUUAUACGCGUUUGCUGUUGAAUGCAUUUAAUAGUGGUACGCAUGCAAAAAUACUGUAAUAUCAGCAAACAGCAGCAACAAUAACAACAACAAGGGUGACUUUACUUAAGACAAACCACGAAAAUUGCUGCACUAAUUUUCACCUGUGUAUUGUGUUCUUGUUGUUUUUGUUGUAGUUUGCUACGUUUGGUUGCUUUUUGGCUAUUUCGAUGUGUGAGUGUCGGCGCCUAUAUGUGUGAGUAGCGGCAUCUAUGCGCGCGCGCGUGUGUGAGUGUGGUAUGCGUGAGUUGUUAUAAAUAGGCGAAAGAGAGAGAGAGGGAAGCAGAGAGAGAAAGAUCACUUCUUGCAAGCAAAGAAAGUGCAAAAAGAAGAAACAACUCAGCGAAAUACACAAAAUAUGUUUAUUUUUAUAGGCCAACAAAUAAAUUAGAACGCCGACAGCAUGCGAAAGCGUAAAUGUGUCAGCCAAAUCCUAUUGGAAGCCGACUGCUGCAUCCGUUUUUGAGCGAAAGUUUUUUAUGGCUGUCUCGCCGGAGUGUGCAAAAAAAAAAAAAAAAAGAAAUGAAGAAGAAAAAUAAAUGUGAGCAGCCUGCCAGCUGUUGAUAGGCAAACUGCAUAGAGCAGAGAAGAAAUA